CGGUGGUCGCCGCCUAAUCGCCCGCAGGGGCGAGCCGGGGAACCAUGUUCCUGGGGUGCAUCCGCGCACGCGCGGUAGGGAUCUUCCGUCCCGAACCCGUCAGCUAACCCGGUCGGCGGCUGACGGAAGGACAU
Molecule: small RNA, 134 nt
Filed under: Micromonospora maris AB-18-032
Lineage: Bacteria; Bacillati; Actinomycetota; Actinomycetes; Micromonosporales; Micromonosporaceae
Also listed under: 1 other name
Description: Verrucosispora maris AB-18-032 c-di-AMP riboswitch aptamer (ydaO/yuaA leader)
Rfam family: c-di-AMP riboswitch aptamer (ydaO/yuaA leader)
About the family: This family represents a conserved RNA structure found upstream of the ydaO and yuaA genes in Bacillus subtilis and related genes in other bacteria.
Source: Rfam by way of RNAcentral